This 391-nucleotide ribosomal RNA is filed under the name uncultured bacterium. Its description in RNAcentral is "bacterial SSU rRNA". It matches the Rfam family "Bacterial small subunit ribosomal RNA", at positions 370 to 772 of the family's 1533-position model. The record is from RNAcentral.
AAUGGGGGAAACCCUGAUGCAGCGAUGCCACGUGAGUGAAGAAGGCCUUCGGGUCGUAAAACUCUUUCAGCGGGGAAGAAGGGAAACUUGACUGUACCCGCAGAAGAAGCACCGGCUAACUCCGUGCCAGCAGCCGCGGUAAUACGGAGGGUGCGAGCGUUGUUCGGAAUCACUGGGCGUAAAGCGCGUGUAGGCGGCUUGGUAAGUCUGAUGUGAAAUCCCUGGGCUCAACCUGGGAACUGCAUCGGAUACUGCCUGGCUAGAGGACGAGAGAGGGAAGUGGAAUUCCUGGUGGAGGGGUGAAAUCCGUAGAUAUCAGGAGGAACAUCAGUUGCGAAGGCGGCUUCCUGGCUCGUUCCUGACGCUCAGACGCGAAAGCGUGGGGAGCAAA